GGGGCAUGGUGGAUAAGGGCGUCUACUUGUAGAGCCUGACCUCCACUUCUAACACUGUGCACUUGAUGGCGAGGUAAUGGAACUUUCGAGUGAAACUACCUUGCGGCUUCAUUUUAAACAUUAGUCAAAGUAUGUAAUGAAAUAUUAAAACAAAAAAAAACUUUCAACAACGGAUCUCUUGGCUCUCGCAUCGAUGAAGAACGCAGCGAAAUGUGAUAAGUAAUGUGAAUUGCAGAAUUCAGUGAAUCAUCGAAUCUUUGAACGCACCUUGCGCUCCCUGGUAUUCCGGGGAGCAUGCCUGUUUGAGUGUCAUGAACUCUUCAACCCACCAGUUUCUAGUAGACUGCGUUGGUGUUUGGAUUUUGAGCGUUGCUAGUCUGACUAGCUCGUUCGUAAUACAUUAGCAUCUCUAAUUCGAAUUCGGAUUGACUCAGUGUAAUAGACUAUUCGCUGAGGACACUUUUAUUAGUGGCCGUACUAGAACCAGUAGAAGCUUCCAACUAUUGUAGUCAACUUUAAUUUAGACCUCAGAUCAGGCAGGAUUACCCGCUGAACUUAAGCAUAUCAAA
Molecule: ribosomal RNA, 569 nt
Filed under: fungal sp. TZ-2015b
Lineage: Eukaryota; Fungi
Description: eukaryotic LSU rRNA
Rfam family: 5.8S ribosomal RNA (bases 159-312)
Source: RNAcentral